UACGGGGGGGGCAAGCGUUGUUCGGAUUCAUUGGGCGUAAAGGGUGCGUAGGUGGCGCUGUAAGUCGGGUGUGAAAUUUCGGAGCUUAACUCCGAAACUGCAUUCGAUACUGCGGUGCUUGAGGACUGGAGAGGAGACUGGAAUUCAUGGUGUAGCAGUGAAAUGCGUAGAGAUCAUGAGGAAGACCAGUGGCGAAGGCGGCUCACUGGCCCGGUACUGACGCUGAGGUGCGAAAGCGUGGGGAGCAAACAGG
This 253-nucleotide ribosomal RNA is filed under the name uncultured bacterium. Its description in RNAcentral is "partial 16S ribosomal RNA". It matches the Rfam family "Bacterial small subunit ribosomal RNA", at positions 524 to 776 of the family's 1533-position model. The record is from RNAcentral.